This 380-nucleotide ribosomal RNA is filed under the name uncultured eukaryote. Its description in RNAcentral is "partial 18S ribosomal RNA". It matches the Rfam family "Eukaryotic small subunit ribosomal RNA", at positions 592 to 976 of the family's 1831-position model. The record is from RNAcentral.
CAAUAGCGUAUAUUAAAGUUGUUGCGGUUAAAAAGCUCGUAGUUGGAUUUCUGCUGAGAACGACCGGUCCGCCCUUUGGGUGUGUAUCUGGCUCUUUCUUGGCAUCUUCUUGGUGAACGUUGCUGCACUUGACUGUGUGGAGCGCUACCCAGGACUUUUACUUUGAGGAAAUUAGAGUGUUUCAAGCAGGCAUACGCCUUGAAUACAUUAGCAUGGAAUAAUAAGAUAGGACCUCGGUUCUAUUUUGUUGGUUUCUAGAGCUGAGGUAAUGAUUAAUAGGGAUAGUUGGGGGCAUUCGUAUUUAACUGUCAGAGGUGAAAUUCUUGGAUUUGUUAAAGACUGACUACUGCGAAAGCAUUUGCCAAGGAUGUUUUCAUUGA